Panthera leo (lion) is the source of this 134-nucleotide small nuclear RNA. Its record names the gene U4. It matches the Rfam family "U4 spliceosomal RNA". Rfam says of the family: U4 small nuclear RNA (U4 snRNA) is a component of the major U2-dependent spliceosome. The structure of U4 snRNA from yeast and human has been reported. NCBI's taxonomy places the organism in Eukaryota, Metazoa, Chordata, Mammalia, Carnivora, Felidae. The record is from Ensembl.
AGCUUUGUGCAGUGGCAGUAUCGUAGCCAAUGAGGUUUAUGCAAGGCACAGUUACUGCUAAAAGGGGUAAAAAAAAAAAUACAUAGCUAAACAUUUUAGCUUUGAUUUUUCUGAAAGGAAAUAUGCCUAUUUUC